CUGACAGAAGAGAGUGAGCACACGCAGGCAAUUGUAUAUAGAUUAUAUUACUGUCAUUUGCGUGUGCUCACUUCUCUUGCUGUCAU
Molecule: non-coding RNA, 86 nt
Organism: Nicotiana sylvestris (wood tobacco)
Lineage: Eukaryota; Viridiplantae; Streptophyta; Magnoliopsida; Solanales; Solanaceae
Source: Rfam